CCCCUGGACAAAGACUGACGCUCAGGUGCGAAAGCGUGGGGAGCAAACAGGAUUAGAUACCCUGGUAGUCCACGCCGUAAACGAUGUCGAUUUGGAGGUUGUGCCCUUGAGGCGUGGCUUCCGGAGCUAACGCGUUAAAUCGACCGCCUGGGGAGUACGGCCGCAAGGUUAAAACUCAAAUGAAUUGACGGGGGCCCGCACAAGCGGUGGAGCAUGUGGUUUAAUUCGAUGCAACGCGAAGAACCUUACCUGGUCUUGACAUCCACAGAACUUUCCAGAGAUGGAUUGGUGCCUUCGGGAACUGUGAGACAGGUGCUGCAUGGCUGUCGUCAGCUCGUGUUGUGAAAUGUUGGGUUAAGUCCCGCAACGAGCGCAACCCUUAUCCUUUGUUGUCCAGCGGUUAGGCCGGGAACUCAAAGGAGACUGCCAGUGAUAAACUGGAGGAAGGUGGGGAUGACGUCAAGUCAUCAUGCCUUACGACCAGGCUACACACGUGCUACAAUGGCAUAUACAAAGAGAAGCGACCUCGCGAGAGCAAGCGGACCUCAU
This 549-nucleotide ribosomal RNA is filed under the name Klebsiella pneumoniae. Its description in RNAcentral is "bacterial SSU rRNA". It matches the Rfam family "Bacterial small subunit ribosomal RNA", at positions 726 to 1277 of the family's 1533-position model. The record is from RNAcentral. Lineage: Bacteria; Pseudomonadati; Pseudomonadota; Gammaproteobacteria; Enterobacterales; Enterobacteriaceae.